Molecule: transfer RNA, 74 nt
Filed under: Nocardia aurantia
Lineage: Bacteria; Bacillati; Actinomycetota; Actinomycetes; Mycobacteriales; Nocardiaceae
Description: tRNA-Val
Rfam family: tRNA
About the family: Transfer RNA (tRNA) molecules are approximately 80 nucleotides in length. Their secondary structure includes four short double-helical elements and three loops (D, anti-codon, and T loops).
Source: RNAcentral
GGUCUCAUAGCUCAGCGGGAGAGCGCUCGCCUCACACGCGAGAGGUCGCUGGUUCGAUCCCAGCUGGGACCACC